CAGCCUCCACAGCACCAAGGAGCAGCCAUCCCUGCAGGACCCUGGAGGGUGACGGUGCAGCUGGGGAGGUGUCACAGGCACUUCCUGACACUUCCUUGCCGUGCUGUCAGAACACUUCACACUUCAGUGGUGAGCCAGAAAGGAAAUCGAUGGACCUGGAGCUGCGAGGGAUUGCUCGCCGAUGACUUGACAAGACCAGACAAGCUUGACUGUCCCUUCCGGCGCCCACCCCAGAGGACAACUGGGCCGACUGGGUGAGCCCCUACCUUCCAGGAGCCUGUGGUCUCUUUGGAGAGCAUUCCAGAUGCCCGCAUCCCACCUGCCUCCCCUAAGGUUGCAGGACUCUGCUGCCCAGGAGCGGGACACAGUCACUGUCAAGAAUACCUGUGUACCUACAGAGGAGCAAAACGUCAGGCCAUGUGUCUGAGAGUCUAAAGGGAUGGAAGUCUGGGCGUGGGGUCACCUCUGCCCGGCCAGCUGUGUCCCUGGCUCCCAGGUGGGAUCUUCUGAGAGAGAGGAGACUCAGGUUGGCUUCUCCAGCCAACAGCCAAUCGAAGACGUCAACCAACUGCUCUGCUCACUUGAGCUGUGCUCACCUGGCAAGGGAUGCAGACAGUGGCUCCCAAACACUGGGAUGGACGAUGAUAAAGUGGUCCCUCGUCCCCUUGUGAACAGAAGACAAAGAGAUGUGAUGAAUGUUCCAGCUUGUUAAAUU
RNAcentral lists this long non-coding RNA (715 nucleotides) under Equus caballus (horse). RNAcentral describes it as "lncRNA (ENSECAG00000043878.1)". The record is from RNAcentral. Lineage: Eukaryota; Metazoa; Chordata; Mammalia; Perissodactyla; Equidae.